This is a long non-coding RNA of Helianthus annuus (common sunflower), 347 nucleotides long. RefSeq lists it as uncharacterized. NCBI's taxonomy places the organism in Eukaryota, Viridiplantae, Streptophyta, Magnoliopsida, Asterales, Asteraceae. The record is from RefSeq and is a predicted model, not a curated record. The transcript is spliced from 3 exons.
ACAUGGCAUUAGCUUAAGCCAUUACUUGCCACGUGGCAUUUGCUUAGACCACUUUUUUUUGCUUUUUCCGCCAAAACCAUCCUCCUUAGCUUCUUUAAUACGCUUCACUUCACUCCAAAACCCUAAUACCCAUCUCCUGCAUCUGGUUCUUCCUUCUUCAUCGAUUGAUCUUCGAAAAACAUAGAUUUCUUCAUCUUCAAUCGCGAGUGGAAGCAACCAGUCCUUAUUAUGCGACGUAUAAGGUUUUCCGAUUAAAUUCACGUAUUGAAGUAGAUUUUGAGCAAUUAUCAGAGGUGACGUUGUUUGCUGACACUAUUACAGUUCAACAAUUGGGAGUGAUGAUUUAG